RNAcentral lists this non-coding RNA (24 nucleotides) under Arabidopsis thaliana (thale cress). Lineage: Eukaryota; Viridiplantae; Streptophyta; Magnoliopsida; Brassicales; Brassicaceae. The record is from RNAcentral.
UACCAUCUGGUGCCGGCGCAGUGU